GAGGCGGCAAAUAUCCUUUGAUCCGGAGAUGUCUGAAUGGGGGAACCCACCUACUUUAAGGUAGGUAUUGCAACAUGAAUACAUAGUGUUGCAAGGCGAACGAGGGGAAGUGAAACAUCUCAGUACCCUUAGGAAAAGAAAUCAAUUGAGAUUCCCUCAGUAGCGGCGAGCGAACGGGGAUCAGCCCAUUAAGUUAUGUGUGUUUUAGUGGAACGCUCUGGGAAGUGCGAACGUAGAGGGUGAUAUUCCCGUACACGAAAGGGCACACAUAAUGAUGACGAGUAGGGCGAGGCACGUGAAACCUUGUCUGAAUAUGGGGGGACCAUCCUCCAAGGCUAAAUACUCCUGACUGACCGAUAGUGAACCAGUACCGUGAGGGAAAGGCGAAAAGAACCCCUGUGAGGGGAGUGAAAUAGAUCCUGAAACCGCAUGCAUACAAGCAGUGGGAGCACCUUCGUGGUGUGACUGCGUACCUUUUGUAUAAUGGGUCAGCGACUUAUAUUCAGUAGCGAGGUUAACCGUAUAGGGGAGCCGUAGAGAAAUCGAGUCUUAAUAGGGCGUUUAGUUGCUGGGUAUAGACCCGAAACCAGGCGAUCUAUCCAUGAGCAGGUUGAAGGUUGGGUAACACUAACUGGAGGACCGAACCCACUGUCGUUGAAAAGCCAGGGGAUGACUUGUGGAUAGGGGUGAAAGGCUAAUCAAGCCUGGUGAUAGCUGGUUCUCCCCGAAAGCUAUUUAGGUAGCGCCUCGGACGAAUACCAUAGGGGGUAGAGCACUGUUUCGGCUAGGGGGUCAUCCCGACUUACCAAACCGAUGCAAACUCCGAAUACCUA
RNAcentral lists this ribosomal RNA (833 nucleotides) under Acinetobacter baumannii. Its description in RNAcentral is "partial 23S ribosomal RNA". It matches the Rfam family "Bacterial large subunit ribosomal RNA", at positions 83 to 966 of the family's 2925-position model. Lineage: Bacteria; Pseudomonadati; Pseudomonadota; Gammaproteobacteria; Moraxellales; Moraxellaceae. The record is from RNAcentral.